RNAcentral lists this ribosomal RNA (649 nucleotides) under Salmonella enterica subsp. enterica serovar Enteritidis. RNAcentral describes it as "partial 23S ribosomal RNA". It matches the Rfam family "Bacterial large subunit ribosomal RNA", at positions 583 to 1235 of the family's 2925-position model. Lineage: Bacteria; Pseudomonadati; Pseudomonadota; Gammaproteobacteria; Enterobacterales; Enterobacteriaceae. The record is from RNAcentral.
CUUUGGGUGUGACUGCGUACCUUUUGUAUAAUGGGUCAGCGACUUAUAUUCUGUAGCAAGGUUAACCGAAUAGGGGAGCCGGAGGGAAACCGAGUCUUAACCGGGCGUUAAGUUGCAGGGUAUAGACCCGAAACCCGGUGAUCUAGCCAUGGGCAGGUUGAAGGUUGGGUAACACUAACUGGAGGACCGAACCGACUAAUGUUGAAAAAUUAGCGGAUGACCUGUGGCUGGGGGUGAAAGGCCAAUCAAACCGGGAGAUAGCUGGUUCUCCCCGAAAGCUAUUUAGGUAGCGCCUCGUGAAUUCAUCUCCGGGGGUAGAGCACUGUUUCGGCUAGGGGGCCAUCCCGGCUUACCAACCCGAUGCAAACUGCGAAUACCGGAGAAUGUUAUCACGGGAGACACACGGCGGGUGCUAACGUCCGUCGUGAAGAGGGAAACAACCCAGACCGCCAGCUAAGGUCCCAAAGUCAUGGUUAAGUGGGAAACGAUGUGGGAAGGCCCAGACAGCCAGGAUGUUGGCUUAGAAGCAGCCAUCAUUUAAAGAAAGCGUAAUAGCUCACUGGUCGAGUCGGCCUGCGCGGAAGAUGUAACGGGGCUAAACCAUGCACCGAAGCUGCGGCAGCGACACUGUGUGUUGUUGGGUAGGGGA